RNAcentral lists this ribosomal RNA (301 nucleotides) under uncultured bacterium. RNAcentral's name for it is "partial 16S ribosomal RNA". It matches the Rfam family "Bacterial small subunit ribosomal RNA", at positions 509 to 808 of the family's 1533-position model. The record is from RNAcentral.
CAGCAGCCGCGGGAAUACAGAGGAUGCAAGCGUUAUUUGAAUGAUUUGGCGUAAAGCGUCUGUAGGUGGCUUUUCAAGUCCGUCGUCAAAUCCCAGGGCUCAACCCUAGACAGACAGUGUAAACUGCCAAGCUGGAGUACGGUAGGGGCAGAGGGAAUUUCUGGUGGAGCGGUGAAAUGCGUUGAGAUGUGGAGGGACACCAGUGGCGAAGGCGACUCUCUGGUCUGUAACUGACGCUGAGGAGCGAAAGCGUGGGGAGCGAACAGGAUUAGAUACCCCAGUAGUCCCUGUCUCUUAUACA